Non-coding RNA from Xyrichtys novacula (pearly razorfish), 6026 nucleotides. The record is from the annotation of a GenBank genome assembly. NCBI's taxonomy places the organism in Eukaryota, Metazoa, Chordata, Actinopteri, Labriformes, Labridae.
AGGCUUUGGGAGGUUUAAAUAAGCGUUUUGUCGUCCAGUGACCCUUAAUGAAAGAUUCUGGUGGCAGUGUGCCGACAGAGUCAGGUCAGAGAGAGAAGACAGGCGGAGGUUAGUCUGGAUACACUGUCCUUGUCUCUGGGGGGAGUCUCUUUUUUUUCUACAGACAAAAGCAGCAAAAUGAGAAGCGAGUGCAGCAGGUUUGUCCAGUGAAAGCCGAGAGAGAAGAGGACAUGUAGUGACUAACACCAGAGAACAGGAGGUGGGUCAGGAGGAGAGGAGGUCAGAGCGCGGCGGAGUAAUGAGCACGAAGCUGCGGGGAAGAGAGGACAAAGUGCUGCAGUCCUACAGACGUGUGUCAAGAGAGUUCUCGUUCCACUCCACGGUCUCAAAUCUUUAUUGUGUGUUUCUUGUUAACAGUAACGCAGAAGCACCGAAGAACCCUUGAUAUGGCAAUGGAGCAUAUUUCAACCAGCCAGUAGAGGGCGACUGAUAUCAGAUUUUUGGGGCGGUUAUGAUGCAGAUUAUUAAUGGUUCAUGUUACCGAUCUAAACAUUCAUUUAUCAUAAGAUUCAGGUAGGGCUGAAAUGAUUCCUCAAGUACCUCGUUUACAAAUAACGAUCAAGGAAUUUUCAAGUACUCCUUUAAAAGCGCAAAUCGUCACUUUUUCACACAAAUUAUUUUCAAGGUGACACAACUCGCUUACGUCAACACGGUAGAAGGAGGAGAAAGCGCGUUUUUGAUAAAAAAUAUAUAUAAUAUAUAUAUACACUGCAGAUAUCUACAGUAUACAAUAAACUGUAGAUAUACUGUAGGUUACUGCUUUUCACGCUGACAGGAUAAGUCAGGGAACUUUUCAAACAUUUUCGAAGUGAAACCGAAUCUUAUUCUUAGCAUUUUAUUUCUGAAAAUAUCAGUUAGUCUCAAACGAGCUAAAAUUGGCUGAUUUAAUUGACUCGCCGAUAAAUCAGUCAGGCCCUACUCUGCACACUCCUCUUCAUGCUAGCAUGCAGCCUAACAUUAUCGGUAGUAGCAGAAGCAAGUAACAAAGAAGCUAUUCAACUCUCGGACACUAAUUUCUUUGGGGACAUGAUGAAAGUUAAUAUUUCAAUUAGCUUUCUUACGAGGAUUGCAAUCUGCUACCACACACGCUUGUUCCACGAUAAUUACACUUAAACUAGAAACUUGUCUGAUUACUUGAUUAAUCGAUGGAAUAUUUGGUAGAAUACUCAAUCACUAAAAUAUUCGAUAGCUGCAGCCCUAGAUUCAGGCCACCCGAGUACAUUUUCAUUUACGUCUUUAUAGCCGCUCAGAUCGCCAUCAGUGAUACAGUAACUCGCUCUGCAUCCCUCACUGUAAGAUUAUUCAGGAAGUGUAUAACAUUUCUGCGGAGAUACAGUCUUCAUAUUUCAAAGAAACACAUCCGAGAGGGUGCUUUUGUGUAUUUACAGCAGCACCUUGUCAGAUCAAGUUGUGUUGUGUUUUCUGCCCUAUUUAGAUAAAUAGCAGGUUUGUUUGUUUGUCUUCAAGCAGGUCUUCAGUUGUAAAAAUAGGGCCUGAGGCUCUUGCUGUAUAGCUGCACCUAUAAUCUACAAUUAUAAGGUGUGUAUAAUAAUAGAUUACAGUGCGAUCUACUGAAAGAGGAAGAAUUUCUAUCUUUGCAAAGACUUGCUGAGAUAACAAGGUGCAUCACAGCAUCUAUUCUUCUAGUACAAAGACAGGAAGUAGACCUCAGACUCUCAUGCUCUGAUUUUUUCUGCAGUGAAAGGAGCCGGCGGGCCACCACGCGGUGUGCAACAUCGGCUAUUGUGAGAAAUCAGCAGUGUGACAAUCAGUGAGCUGUGUGCAGGCAGCACUGCCACAGGACCCGCGCAUACACAGCUGCAGGACACUUGUUUCCCAGAGUUCACGGCGGCAAAGGGUGCAGAGGGGACAGUCGUGACAGACUGCUGAGGAGGGAGAAAGAGAACAGAUGGAUGUGCGGUGUCCUUGUGUUUGAGGAUGUCUUUCCUCACGGCUAUGCUGCAUAUUUGUCACAUGUUCAACGCACACAGAGCCGGAACGGGCAUCAUUAACCUAAAUUACAAUGUUCGGGGAUUUUGGGGCGUGAUUGGCCAGCAUCAGGACAGCUGGUCAACUCCAGAACGACCCGCUGAGAAUCUCAAUAUAACUCUAAUACUUAACAUGUGUUAACAUGGGGGCGAACACUUAAGAGCUGAUUGCUUUGCUGUGGGCUGUGCUGGAGUUAGCAGCUGCAAAAUACUUAUAAAAGGACCAAAACACACGUUAAUCUACACCCAGGUCAGCCGGUCUUUUGUUCAGUUUUGUAUGAAUCUAGAAAGUGUUCGUUUGUGUGUGUGUGUGAGGACUGAAUAGACUGGCAGGGUGCUGCUUAUGUCAUUUACUUGAUUGGUCAUUGCAAAGAGCCAAAACACUGUGGUGCGAAAUAACAUUCCCCUUACAGCCGGCUCACAUUCAUUCACAGUUGUGCGGUGAUUAAAGUCGUGAAAAGAUCUAAUUUGUGUAACCUUGAUUUUGGUACGAUGAUUCAUAAGAGCUACGCUGGAGGAGACUAUCGCUGAGCGAGACAAGAGGCCAAGGCUGCAGUAAAUACGUCCAUAUAAUAGAAACUGAACCCAAUGAGCAAUCUUAACCCAGUGAAUGUCGUUUUGUUGGAAAAACUGUUUUUAAAUGUUAAUUUUGAUGGAUAUCGACGGUUGUAUUCUCUCAGUUUACACAGUUUAAGAGUCUUAACAUGUACAAACCAGAAGUUACAUUAAAAUGAAUAUUAUAUGCUUUAGUACACCUUGAAGCCAAAAGAUCUAGAGCUCCCCCUAGUGAUAGGCUGCAGUAUCUGUUUUUUAACCCAGCUCACGUCUUGGAAAACAGAACCUGAGUGUCGGCACCAGUGGAGACUUGAGAGAAAUGGAGAGGGGUCUGGCUGCAGACCUCCACUGUGAGGACCCGAGGUGACGUUAUUUAUCACGCGUUUCAGUUUAUUUGAAGUGGUUAUCCUGUUUUGUAUUUGAUCAUUAUUGAACACAUAAAUACACAAAAAAAUAUAUUAACACUAUAUAAAUAAAACAAAGCUCCAAGAAAAAAUAUAUUCACACGAGAUAAAAAAAUAUAUAUAGAUACUUCCUCGCUUUUAUUUUGAAAGGCUUCAAAUCAACUUUUGGUCCGCUCAGUGGAGGUGGGUCCUCAGAGUGGAGGUCUGCAGUCAGACUGUCUUGUAGAAAUGAGGUGAGGUUGUUUAUUCUAUAUCCAGCCAAUGGUAUAAACACACAACAGCUGCUUUUUGUGAUUGUGAACACAACCAAGACUGAAUGUUUUUAAUGUGAGUCAGUCAAGUCUGUACCUGUUUACAGACGAGGAGACAAAAUAAGCUGCUGGGAUGGAAGAACCAGACUUGACUGUCAACGGCAGCUAUCUAGGCAACAAAUAUUCAAUGCUGGAAACCAUCGUCUGUAUUUGAAGAUGAACAACACAUCAACACCUCCUUCUCCUUCUGUAUAAAAGUGAUGUUAACUUAACUCCCUUUCACUGCAUUCAGCAAUGUGCACUUUACAUGUAGAUGUGUAGCUCUCUCUUGCACCGUCUAUUAUCACCACCCUGCCAGCUACCUCUAACUGCCUCUCUACACACCAAGCACAAGUAAAAUCAUUCGCACGCAUAAGUUACAUGUUAAGUCAACUCAAAGACGCGAUUAGACGCUUGUGCUACUCUGGCGGCGAGAAUGACGCAAAUUGGGCGAGAGCUGGAAAUGUCUCAAGUUGAGCGGAUAUUCGUGUCACGAUAAUGUGAGUCAAAAAAAAAAACUUUGUCUAUCACUUGAUCCCGUUGGUUGAAUUGGCAGGGAUUACCAUUAAAAUUACCAUUGACGCUCGAAUGAAGCAAGUGAACACCAUUCAUUCACGUCCAGAUUCACACGAAUUAAGCAAGUAGAUAAUUUUACUCUGUGUGAGCGCUUCUUCAGGUAGUAUGGUAGGUAAGCACAGCCUACAACAGCACUAAGAAAAGUGACUCUGAGGUCCACAUGAAUGCAGGAUUAUUAAACCACACCCUAGAAUAUAACUUUGUGUUAUUUUCAAGUAUUUUUUUUAUACCUAACACUUGGCUCUUUCUUUCUUUCUUGGCUGAGGAAACAAGUGAGAUGCUCUCUCCUCGAUUCACGCUGUUAACAGUUUCCACAUUUUGUUCAAACUGAUGCAGACAAUGCAACUGCAUAGCAUAAUAAACAGCUUUUAAAGAUGAACGUGUUUACAGUGAAGCUAUUUCCACACAGGAUGCUGCCCGCAGGGGUCGUCUGUCUGUCUAGAUGGAGAUAAAUGGCCGUUGUUGCACAGAGAGAGGCGGGCUGCUGACUGAUAAAGGCUGUGUUUGGGAUGAAGCUCAGCUGUUAGUGUUUACUUUAAUUGUCCUGUAAUCACCAGGUUUCCGGGGAAAGGGGGGGCCUCCUGCCGAGCUGCACCUGGACCCCGCUCCAGACCGAUUAUACCGUUGGUGGAGGUGAUUCCCAACCCUGACUUAUUCUGGUCGAAACACACCAGGAAGCAGCAGAGGGAAAAAGGACAGCGACAGAGGAGAGAAAGUGUGUUGACAGAUGUGUCUGCAGGAGAAAGACAACUAAAGGAAGGGAAACAGGAAAGAGAAGGUAUAAAAGUCUUUAUGUAUGCGGAACACCAGCAGAGGAAAAGAUGUCAUAAAAUAUAAAUUGACUGCAUAAUUGCCGUUGCCACAUGUUGCAAUUUAACAUCAAUAAAUCAUUACAAGAAUAAUUUAAGAUGUCAGUAUAAUUACACUAAACAAACUGGUCUAUCAUUACUGAGAAUUAGCAGCAUAUAACAGCCUCUGUUUCAGUGCACCAAGGUGAGAUGGAAAUAAGUAAGCUAUAUAGAUUUAUGUGACAGUUAAUAAAAAAAAAAAAAGUUACUUCUCACUCUAGAAACAAGCAGAAAGUGGUAGAAAAAACACUAACUUGGUAUGCUAGCAGAGUGGCGCUAUGGUGGCGACGUUGGACUUUAGGUUAUCCUCUUAAAACGGCCAAAAAAAUGUUCACUGAAGCGGCAAAUGACUGGACUACAGUUAGGAAUGGGCAUGAUUACGCGAUGAUCAAUUAAUUGAUUGUUGAGAAAACUGCGAUCAAUCUAACGUAAUUAAAAAAAGGGCUGACAGCGUGCGUCCAUCCUUCCAAGUGCUUUCCAGCAAAGAUAAACUUCUGCUGAUCGGGAUUCAGUGACUAUCACCGCGCAGAGGGAUUUUGACAUUUUACAAGGAGAGUGUCAGCAGGCUUUUGUAGAAGUCAGAAAAAACAUGAAGAAACCGAGACGAAGUGCGGCGUGGGACCAUUUCCCGCAGAAAUAUGUUGCGGUUCGGUUGCAAACACUGCGCUGAUGUGUACAAGUAAAACACAACGACGACGACCCCAAUGAUAGACCACCUGAACCACCCUCCGAGUGCUCUCAAUCUCAAUUUACCAUCAGCACUUUGCUAGUAAAGGGGAACUGUAGGGUGACCAGGCGUCCCUGAUUUCAGGGGACAGCCCCCGUUCUAGAUGACCUGUCCUUCAGCUAAAGUUGUCCGCAGGAAUGCCCACGAUUUUAGAGUUUCAUGAAUGAGAAAAAAACGGUAGUCAGUUCUGAGGAAAACCACGUUUUUGGAGGUAUUUUCUGCCAUUCACAUAAACAAACGAUCAAAUUGACGAUUGAUCAUUAAUUUCUAUGAUUAUUCAAUCAAGGGAUUUUAUCAAAAUUCCCAUUCCUAACUAGAAUUACUGCAAAGAAGGAAGGACAGCUGGAGUACAGAGCAGCUGAGGCAGAACUUAGCAGUAUAAAGGGUAUGAGAAAGAGCUACAUGGUUGCACAAAAACUGCACACUGCAGACUUUGCUGAGCGCAGAUAAAGUUACCACACAGGAAUACAGUAAAGUAUUAUUACUUCACACACAAUGGCACUCAAAGAAAGACAGUGGGUUGGCAAAGUCUGCAGAUUUUCUCACCGAGAUCUUUAAGUCUGAACUGAAGUCGGUGA